Molecule: long non-coding RNA, 686 nt
Filed under: Coffea arabica (coffee)
Lineage: Eukaryota; Viridiplantae; Streptophyta; Magnoliopsida; Gentianales; Rubiaceae
Description: long non-coding RNA (CARA_LNC004177)
Source: RNAcentral
UUUUUUCAUUUUCACCUUUUAUUUCUUUUUCCUCCUCUGUCCUACUCCCCUUCCCCCUCCACCACUUCACACCACCAUUCUCUCCACCCAAGGUCUAAAAUCCUGCAAAUUUGGAGUACCAUAAUAUAAGAGGUAGUGGGUUGGUUUGUAUUUUUAUGCAUUGCUACAAAUCUAGUCCCCUACGGGAAAAAUGGGCACCACAACAUCAGCCAUCAAAGACCCAAAAAUUGGGCAAAGGAAUUCUACAGAUGGGUCUCAUUUUUGCUAUGAUUUCAGGGAGAAAGAAGAAGAGGACUUGUAGUUGGAGAUUUUCCAUUUCUGAAACUUGCCAUUUUCACUUAUUUGAUUUGUCUACUUUUUCAAGAAUUUUAUGGUGGAAGCUUAUGAAAUUCGUGAAAUUUUUUCUUGGAUUUUUGGGUGAAUUUGGAUUUUGGGGCCAUUGUUGUGGAAGAAUCUUUGGAGACAAAGUCGCAGGCGGUGGUGGUGACUAGCGGUGGUAGAGAGAGAUGGCAGAGGAAAAGAGGGAGAGGGUAUGAAUAAUUUUUGCUAUGAUCUCAAGAAGGCAGAAGAAAGAGGACUUGUAGUUGGAGAUUUUCCAUUUCCGAAACUUGCCAUUUUCACUCAUUUGAUUUGUCUACUUUUUCAAGAAUUUUAUGAUGGAAGCUUAUGAAAUUCAUGAAAUGGCC